RNAcentral lists this ribosomal RNA (876 nucleotides) under Glypthelmins quieta. RNAcentral's name for it is "eukaryotic LSU rRNA". It matches the Rfam family "Eukaryotic large subunit ribosomal RNA", at positions 96 to 634 of the family's 3401-position model. The record is from RNAcentral. Lineage: Eukaryota; Metazoa; Platyhelminthes; Trematoda; Plagiorchiida; Plagiorchiidae.
AACAGGGAAAAGCCCAGCGCCGAAGCCUGUGGCCAAUUGGCUACUAGGCAAUGUGGCGUUUAGGUCGUUCCGCAGAGGUUCCGCCCCACCCUAAGUCCAUCAAUGAGUACGGUAGUAUGGACAUGGCCCAUAGAGGGUGAAAGGCCCGUGGGGGUGGGGAUUCGAUUGGCCGGAGCCUCUCUGGAUAGACCUUGGAGUCGGGUUGUUUGUGAAUGCAGCCCAAAGUGGGUGGUAAACUCCAUCCAAGGCUAAAUACUAGCACGAGUCCGAUAGCGAACAAGUACCGUGAGGGAAAGUUGAAAAGUACUUUGAAGAGAGAGUAAACAGUGCGUGAAACCGCUCAGAAGUAAACGGGUAGAGUUGAACUGCAAGCGCUGAGAAUUCAGCUGAUGAGUGUGAUUUGGGCUUGGCCAUGUUGGUGGACUCCGGGGUCUGCGUAGUAGCAGGUCUCUGCCUUCGGGUGGGGAUGCGCGAUACACUUAUCAAGUGUUGCACGCUCCGGUUGAUCUUCGGCCUACUCGUCAGUGCACUUUCUCAGUGUGUUCACCACGACCAGCACCGCUGUCUGGCUGCUAUGGUUAAACCGGUUAUGCAUAAUCCUUGUGGUUAUGCAUAGACGGGAUGGCAGGUGACUCGUUAGCAGGUUUGUGGCUUUGCUGCAUUCAUUGCUAUUGAAAGUUAUUAGCUGACCAUAGUGGUUCUGUGCAGUGUGUUGGAGGCGGCGGCUUUAGUUGUUGCAGGUGUCUCUGCUUGCUGACUUGUCCGGGUUUGGUUAUUUUGUUGCCUGUUUCAACAGGCCUAGUGAUGGCUCGGAUUCGUUCGGUGAGUGGUUGCAUUUGUGACUUCAUUUCUGGGGCCAAUAGUCUGUGGUGUAGU